AACGAACGCUGGCGGCAGGCUUAACACAUGCAAGUCGAGCGCGGUCUUUCGGGACUGAGCGGCGGACGGGUGAGUAACGCGUGGGAACGUGCCCUCUUCUUCGGAAUAGCCUCGGGAAACUGGGAGUAAUGCCGAAUACGCCGGGUCAUAGCGAUAUGGCUUGGGAAAGAUUUAUCGGAGGAGGAUCGGCCCGCGUUGGAUUAGGUAGUUGGUGGGGUAACGGCCUACCAAGCCGACGAUCCAUAGCUGGUUUGAGAGGAUGACCAGCCACACUGGGACUGAGACACGGCCCAGACACCUACGGGAGGCUG
Molecule: ribosomal RNA, 311 nt
Filed under: uncultured Pseudomonadota bacterium
Lineage: Bacteria; Pseudomonadati; Pseudomonadota
Description: bacterial SSU rRNA
Rfam family: Bacterial small subunit ribosomal RNA
Source: RNAcentral